CGCGACGCCUUCUGGGACUCGUAGUUCCAGCGCUAGGCGGAGCCCCCGCCGUCCCGUCACCUCGACCCGUGAAGGUCACUACAGAGGAUUGAGUGGCGCUCCCUGUGCUAGACAAGUUUAAAAUAAGUUGUUUAAGGGUGCAGACACUCCAAUGAUAAAAUGUUAUGAUUCCUGGCUUUCACCAGUUUCUUCUUCUUGAAGAACAAGACCCCAAUGCAUCAGGGCAGAUGCCAACAACUCUCUUCCAGAGGCAGUGCUGUCUCGUCAGUUUGGAGACACAAAGAAAGUGUCCCCGGGGCACACCUUGCUCAGAGUAGGUGCCCCACCACGUGCCCUGGAAGCCCAAGGUUUCGUAUCUCCAGCUCCUGGAACAAAGUUCAGCACAGAGCUGGGACUCUCUGAAUAUUUACUGAGUGAACAAACGUGCGAUUAUCCCUAAUUGAUAGCUGAGGAAACCAAGUCUCAGAGAGAUUGCAUACCUCACUGAAAAUGACAAGGCUGGAUGGUCAUGCAGGCAGGCUACAGGAAUGACAUACUGGGCUGAUUUCUCUGUGAGAGGGUAAUAUUUUGAAGUACAAGGAGCCUGAUUUGCAAGGUAGCGUGGAACUCUAAAAAUGACUGCCCCAAGUUGAAAACAUGCAAAACCACCUUAGUCAGUGCAUGGGGAGGUUUGCAGGAUACCAUUAAUAUACUAAAAGCCACUGAAGUGUACACUUUAAAAAUGGUUAAGGUGGUGAAUUGUAUGUUAUGUGAACUUUGUCCCAAUAGAAAUUGUUUAAUGAACAAGUGAUAGAAAAAAAAAAUCAGU
Non-coding RNA from Odocoileus virginianus texanus, 808 nucleotides. Lineage: Eukaryota; Metazoa; Chordata; Mammalia; Artiodactyla; Cervidae. The record is from RefSeq and is a predicted model, not a curated record.